This 457-nucleotide ribosomal RNA is filed under the name uncultured Variovorax sp. RNAcentral's name for it is "bacterial SSU rRNA". It matches the Rfam family "Bacterial small subunit ribosomal RNA", at positions 342 to 791 of the family's 1533-position model. The record is from RNAcentral. Lineage: Bacteria; Pseudomonadati; Pseudomonadota; Betaproteobacteria; Burkholderiales; Comamonadaceae.
CGGGGCGCAGCAGUGGGGAAUUUUGGACAAUGGGCGAAAGCCUGAUCCAGCAAUGCCGCGUGCAGGAUGAAGGCCUUCGGGUUGUAAACUGCUUUUGUACGGAACGAAAAGGUCUGCCCUAAUACGGUGGGCCCAUGACGGUACCGUAAGAAUAAGCACCGGCUAACUACGUGCCAGCAGCCGCGGUAAUACGUAGGGUGCGAGCGUUAAUCGGAAUUACUGGGCGUAAAGCGUGCGCAGGCGGUUAUGUAAGACAGUUGUGAAAUCCCCGGGCUCAACCUGGGAACUGCAUCUGUGACUGCAUAGCUAGAGUACGGUAGAGGGGGAUGGAAUUCCGCGUGUAGCAGUGAAAUGCGUAGAUAUGCGGAGGAACACCGAUGGCGAAGGCAAUCCCCUGGACCUGUACUGACGCUCAUGCACGAAAGCGUGGGGAGCAAACAGGAUUAGAUACCCCGGU